UCGUAGGUACCCCGCAG
This 17-nucleotide small RNA is filed under the name Bombyx mori (domestic silkworm). Its description in RNAcentral is "ovarian small RNA-29158". The record is from RNAcentral. Lineage: Eukaryota; Metazoa; Arthropoda; Insecta; Lepidoptera; Bombycidae.